Molecule: small nuclear RNA, 107 nt
Organism: Sciurus vulgaris (Eurasian red squirrel)
Lineage: Eukaryota; Metazoa; Chordata; Mammalia; Rodentia; Sciuridae
Source: Ensembl
GUGCUCAUUUCAGCAGCACAUAUACUAAAAUUGGAACGAUACUGAGAAGAUUAGCAUGGUCUCUGAACAAGGAUGACAUGCAAAUUCGUAACGUGUUCCAAAUUUUU